RNAcentral lists this ribosomal RNA (253 nucleotides) under uncultured bacterium. RNAcentral describes it as "partial 16S ribosomal RNA". It matches the Rfam family "Bacterial small subunit ribosomal RNA", at positions 524 to 776 of the family's 1533-position model. The record is from RNAcentral.
UACGUAGGUGGCAAGCGUUGUCCGGAUUUACUGGGCGUAAAGAGCGCGCAGGCGGUCGUUCAAGUCGCGUGUGAAAGCCCCCGGCUCAACUGGGGAGGGUCACGCGAUACUGAUCGACUCGAAGGCAGGAGAGGGUAGUGGAAUUCCCGGUGUAGUGGUGAAAUGCGUAGAUAUCGGGAGGAACACCAGCGGCGAAGGCGACUUCCUGGCCUGUUCUUGACGCUGAGGCGCGAAAGCCAGGGGAGCAAACGGG